RNAcentral lists this ribosomal RNA (253 nucleotides) under uncultured bacterium. RNAcentral describes it as "partial 16S ribosomal RNA". It matches the Rfam family "Bacterial small subunit ribosomal RNA", at positions 524 to 776 of the family's 1533-position model. The record is from RNAcentral.
UACGGAGGGUGCGAGCGUUAAUCGGAGUUACUGGGCGUAAAGGGCGCGUAGGCGGUUUAUUAAGAUUGAUGUGAAAUCCCUGGGCUUAACCUAGGAACGGCAUCGAUGACUGAUGGACUGGAGUAUUGUAGAGGGUAGUGGAAUUUCCGGUAUAGCGGUGAAAUGCGUAGAGAUCGGAAGGAACACCAGUGGCGAAGGCGGCUACCUGGACAAAUACUGACGCUGAGGCGCGAGAGCGUGGGGAGCAAACAGG